Molecule: ribosomal RNA, 204 nt
Filed under: uncultured ammonia-oxidizing archaeon
Lineage: Archaea
Description: partial 16S ribosomal RNA
Rfam family: Archaeal small subunit ribosomal RNA
Source: RNAcentral
UAAUACCAGCACCCCGAGUGGUCGGGACGAUUAUUGGGCCUAAAGCAUCCGUAGCCGGUCCCACAAGUCCUCCGUUAAAUCCAACUGCUUAACAGAUGGGCCGCGGAGGAUACUAUGUGGCUAGGAGGCAGGAGAGGCAAGCGGUACUCAGUGGGUAGGGGUAAAAUCCGUUGAUCCACUGAAGACCACCAGUGGCGAAGGCGG